Long non-coding RNA from Ipomoea nil (Japanese morning glory), 327 nucleotides. RefSeq lists it as uncharacterized. The transcript has 2 exons. The record is from RefSeq and is a predicted model, not a curated record. Lineage: Eukaryota; Viridiplantae; Streptophyta; Magnoliopsida; Solanales; Convolvulaceae.
UCUAGAUUAUCACUUUAACUCGGUGAGGUUGACUUUGUAGAUUUCCUUCUGAGGGUAUCAUGGACAGGAAUAUUUCAAUUUUCAAGACAAAGCACAGAAAGCUAGAGCUCUAAUAUAUUUGCCAUUAUGGCGCACACCUGACAUCCUUGUAGCAUAUAACUACACAAACGGAAAAGUGCAAAAAGUAAGAGCCAUCGAGAAAGUCAGCUCUCAAACAACAUGUCCUAGAGUUCGGAUCAAACAUGGUUGUAAAAGGCACUAGGCGGCCAAUGGGCGGUGGAUGGGCACCAAGGCUUAAUAAUUUUUUUUCAUUACAUUUGAUAAAAA